GGGAAAUCUCCAAACCCUAACCCUUAGCGUGUACCUCUCAAAUCGUUUUUAUUUUUUUUUCCUCAUUUUUUGAUUUCGUGGGUCAAUAUUUCAGUGGCGCGUGGUUUAAAAGAGGUUGCGCGUGGGACUACGCUCUGUCCGAUUCAUGAUUUCUUGUUCAUCUGAAUUGCGAAGCCCUCGCCGGAGAACGGCCGGAUUUCUACCGGACUAUUCAUGGCAUCCGCAGUCUUAGCGAAUCGUAACGAACCGAAUUGGACUCAGCCACAGCCUAGAGGCGGUGCUAAAUUCAUGGGCAAAGUCCCUUUCUCUAACCCUAACCCCAAAUUGUCCAAAAAACGACAAUUUCAAGCGGCUCUGCCUGUCGUCAACUUCGAUGGGCCACCAGCCUUAAUGCAACCAGCUGCAUCGGACGACGCGUCCUCGAUAAACAGGAGGCCGGCGAGCGAUUUCAACAGCGGUGGUUAUGUGACGUUUAAUAUAGCGUCGUGUUCGAAGAAGGAACUGGUGGAGCUGAAGAAUCGAUUGGUUGCAGAGCUGGAACAGAUCCGGCAGUUGAAGAAUCGAAUCGAUUCCUCUGAGUUCCAGAUCAGAUCUAGCUCCAAUUUCCACAAGAAGAAACCAAUCGCAACAAGCAACAGCAACAAGAAAAUAUUGGGGAACAAGCGGCCGUUUCCAGCAACAAAUUUUGGAUUUGGGGCCAAAGAUAUGAAGCGAUCGGUUCAUCCGGAGCAUGGUCAAUUGAUGAAGAAAUGUGCCCAGAUUUUGACGAAAUUGAUGAAGCACAAGCAUGCAUAUGUAUUUAAUGUGCCGGUGGACGUUGAGGGUAUGAAGCUUCAUGAUUAUUAUGAUAUAAUCAAGAAUCCUAUGGAUUUGGGUACCGUCAAAUCUAAAUUGGGGAAGAAUCUGUACGAUUUGCCCACGGAUUUUGCUGUUGAUGUGAGAUUGACCUUCAACAAUGCCAUGAAGUACAAUCCUAAAGGGCACGAUGUGUAUAAUCUUGCCGAGCAGUUUCUCUCCAGGUUUGAGGAAUGGUACCGACCCAUUAGAGAUAAAGUUGUUGAGGAUGAUCAGGAUCAGGUGCAUGAGCAUGAGCAUGAGCAUGAUCAGGUUCAAGAAGUGCAAGCUAGUUCUUGGGAUCACGUACCUAAUCGAGGUGACAUUGAUAGGGUAAAGAAAGAUCAGGAAAAUAUAAUGCAAAUUAUGCCUAAAUCUGACCCAAUUGGGAAAUCAUUGCAACCAAGUGGGUCUAAUCCUCAAUCUACAUCACAGUUGCCUGUGCGGACUCCUUCCCCAAUGCGAGCUCCUCCAGUUAAGCCUGUUAAGCUACCAAAACCCAAGGCCAAAGAUCCUAACAAGAGGGAGAUGUCUCUUGAGGAGAAGCACAAAUUGGGAAUUGGGUUGCAGAGUUUGCCUCAAGAGAAGAUGGAGCAAGUGGUGCAGAUAAUAAGGAAGAGAAAUGGGCAUUUGAGGCAGGAGGGAGAUGAGAUUGAGCUAGAUAUUGAAGCGGUUGACACAGAGACGCUAUGGGAGCUUGAUCGGUUUGUGACUAAUUAUAAAAAGAUGGUUAGUAAGAUAAAACGUCAAGCAUUAAUGGGUAUCAACAAUAUGGCUACUGCUGCUAGCGAAGGCAAUAAGGAGGUACUUGGAAAUGAGAGGAUGGAUGUUGGAGCUGAGGCAAAGAAGCCAAAGAAAGGGGAUGCUGGUGAUGAGGAUGUGGACAUUGGUGAUGAGAUGCCAAUGAGCAAUUUUCCUCCUGUGGAGAUAGAGAAGGACAAUGGGCAUGCGAGUAGCAGUUCUAGCAGCUCUAGUAGUUCGAGUGAUGAAUCUUCCUCAUCCAGCGGUAUGAUUUUAAAUCCAUUCUAAUCAAAUCUUGAAGGGUAAUGUUGCGAAAUUUUGCUGUCAGAUAUGCUAAAUAUGAGUUGGAAAAAAAAAUUGCAGAUUCAGAUUCAGGAAGCUCUUCAGGGAGUGAUUCUGAGGAUGCACAUUCGUAGGACAUUGAGAUAGAAGGAUGUGGGAUUUUGCUUUGGAGCAUUGCAGAGUAGGUUCUUGGAUUGUCGUUAGACAUGGAAAUGGAAGAGGUACUGCAUUUUGUCGUUGAUUUAGGAAAAACCAUAUCUUGAAUUUUGGCAAAAUAGCCUGAUGAGGCUUGGAAAAAUGUUUUGUACAGGGGAGGGUUCUCGAUUGUGGUGUUGUUUGUUGGUUGCAGUUUGGAAGAAUUGAUGGAAAAUGGGUGAUAGGGGGUUUUACAAUGGCUGGAGGCUGCCUGCAACUUGGAAGUAUUUUCUUUUUGUGUAAAAAGACUGAUCAAAUUUGUAGGUUAGAGGUAGGAAAUGCAGUAAAAAGUUUAGGAGAACGGUAGGGCUUUAGAGGAAGAGGUAAGGUAGAGAUGAAUUACUCUGUACACAUUACAACUCUUAAUACAAGCUUUUUAGCUUCACUCAGCAUUGCUUUUUCUUUGGGUAGUGAUUGGCUGAUAAAAAAGUGCUUAAGCAAAGUGUAUAUAUAUAAAUAUAAUCCGUACUCUCAUUUCCAAAUGUCAAGCAGUGCACAAGGACAGCAGAGAGGUGGUGGCCUUAAAAGUAAUAAGCCAGCACAUUCUUGCCUUGGCAGAACAGUUUGGUCUUCGCAUAUGCAUCAUCAUAUUUAAAGGAAAGGACACUUUUCAUGAAGUAAUUUGUUGCUGGUGGGGAAAGAAGAAAUUCCAGCUAGGUAAUAGGCUUGAAGGUGAGGAGGAAAGGAUAAAAAGACACAAUACUGUUAAGCAUGUGAAAUUGGGGAUUUGCCAGGCUUUAUUUUGGUUGGUUGGAAUGGGAAAGGAACAUAUUAUGCCUCCUCGUGGAAAAAAAAGCCUGAUUGCCUCAUGUGACUUUUCAUAUAUCUAUGGAAAAUGUGUAAUUAAAGGGGGCUUGAUACACAUUGCCAGCGUAUUAUUCUCCAUUAGCACAGACCAAGCAAGGUGUAACAUUCCAUGGCCACGAUGACUUUUCUUCAAAGUGAUUGUACACGUUGUUAUACAUGCUUAUGCAUAGGCACCUUUUAUCUUUUAAAAAAGGAGGAUUGAAUUUGUAUUUAUUUUGAGGGGCCAAAUAUUCUUGUAGAUAGUCACUAUCAUUACAAGUCAUCUAACUGGGGAUAGUCUUCAUGGGUAUGAAAGGAAGCCAAAAACCAUUUGAACUUUUUAAGGUUUGAUACAAAGGGAUGAUGACUCAGAAAUUCUUCAAAUUCAAAGGACAAAUAUAUAUGUGGCUUGAACGCCAUUGAAUCAAUUAGCGAAAGACAUGAGUUGCCAUGCCCACCACACCACAGAGUUAGUAAAACUAAUCCCAAUUCAUGUUCACCUACUGGGUCCAAAAAUGAUUUCAAAUGAGUGAGAAAAUUAUAGGGAAUUAAUUUUGGUAAUUUGGUUCCCUAAUAAAAUUUAGUAAUGUGAUUAGUGUUGGUUCACCUAUCUAAAUCACUAAUUAAACAAAAAGUCUU
Molecule: unclassified non-coding RNA, 3477 nt
Filed under: Hevea brasiliensis (rubber tree)
Lineage: Eukaryota; Viridiplantae; Streptophyta; Magnoliopsida; Malpighiales; Euphorbiaceae
Source: RNAcentral